GGAAAAACUACGAGAAAAAUAGUAAAAACUACAACUUACGUUCAAAAACUUCUUCUCCAGUGUACGAAAUCGGCCAGCAGGUUUACAAGCGGAAUUUUCGCCAGUCCUCUUUCGCCAACAGGUAUAACGCCAAGCUAGGUCCAGUGUACCUUCCCUGUACGGUGCUCGCAAGAGUUGGUACAAACUCGUACGAGUUGGCUGACUCCUCCGGAAAACCCAUUGGUGUUUUUUCCGCGACUGAUUUGAAGCCCAGCACCUGAAAAGAAAAGAAAAAAAAAGAAAACACAACAAAGUAACUGUUGACCAACUUCGACGAUACAUAAAACUUACCAGAACCGAUCUCCGGGGCUGAUUCCCUUCCGUCCUUGGCACUGCAGGCCCUGGUAUGUGAAGACUGGAAAAGGCUCAGCAACGUCCAUCCAUCGCUUAAUUUACGACGUCGUUCGGAUGAGUUGUGAAAUUCCAUCAUUGUAAAAGAUGCUCCUGUCAAUUCGUCACUAGUUGAGGCACUUCCGGAUUUUUCCUCCUGCAGGUUUAGCUGAAAAAUGAAAGAGAGAUAGAUUAACAACAAGAUUUACCUAAAUACUGCCAUAAAUAGCGCUUUCGAGGACUUUUACCGUGAAAAUCAACCAAAAACUGUUUCGAAAAACCAUCAGCUUCUACUCCAAUGUUUACAUUUGAAAUAUUGAUUCUUCUUAUAAUCUUGUUCACUGUUCGACUGAUGUCAUGAGUGACCGUCAAUAAGUGAGUCCUACUGAGUUACACGAUUCUGUUCCUAUCAUAUGCUGAUUGAGAAGUAGACUGAUCGUGAUUAUAUCGAACCGAAAGUAAAAUUUUCAUUUUGUUUCAUUAAAAUGAGAAUUGAUUUAAAGGACUGUUGCAUUCAUAUCCCCAAUUACAAAAUGAAUGAUACUUCAUUCAUUUUGAGAAGGGAUGAUGAGGUAAUGUAACCGUUUGUUACUUGUACAUAAAAAUAAUGUGUCUCCGACACUUUUUCUAAAUCGACUACAUCCCUGGUAAGGGGUUCUCACUAACUCUCAUCGAGAGACGUCAAAACAAUCGCCACUCAGGGGUUCGUCCCAUUUUACCUCCCAUCCCUCUCACUACGCGGCUACUCUCUCCCGAGAGAUACCCAUGGGCGCGGAUGAACAGGCUUUUGUUAUUGCGAGGAAGUGUUAUCACCCAAUCAACGUCGCACACGUCAGUUCCGUUUGAUGACGUGCUUAUAUAUUGGUGUGACGGUCGGAUGAACUUUAUGUAAUUCGAGGUGGUGAAGAUUCGGCCUAGCAAGUGCAGAGUCUUUCUGUCCGUGAACGCCUUAGGGCAAAGAAGUGCGCGUCGUGUUCUUAACGUAAAAAGUACGAAUUUUGUGUAAAGUGGUGCAACAAAUUCUAAAUAUUUUACUAAAAUUACAGGGUUAAAAACGGAGAUACGUCUACAAGUUAAAAAAGGACGUUACAAACAAAUAGUUAAAAGUGGCUAAAACUACAAAUAUGAACGUUUAUUAAAACACUAAAAAAGUAGUACGUACCGAACUUUGAAAAUGUUACAUGUAUGAAUCGUGAAACUUAAAUGUCUUUUUUAUGUAACAGGCUACAAUCACAGCUUAAUUGUUAAAACGACUACAAAAACGAAAAAUAUUAAAACUUAUAGUGCGCAAAAAGCUUAAAAUCACGUAAAACAACAACGGCGGAAAACAAAUAACAAGUUAAAAACAGUUUACGAAGAAAAAGGUCCAGAGGACCUUUUUCUUUUUAAUUUUCAUCCUACAAGCUUCGGAUCGACCUCGUGGCAGCGGUUGUGGGCCGAACCAACACCAACAACAAAAAUACGACAGAAAUACGGACAGAAAAUAUCUUCGACCCGGUGGACAUAACUUCAACCGAUUCCACCUGACAACCACGCUGACUCCGGCCUGCAUCAUCUCGAUUCAACACCAUUUCGGGACGCCGAAACUGGUGAGAAUCCGCUAGAGUAGCUGCCCGCUUCGAGGAGAAAGAAUUUCCGGAGUUUUAUGCAACUCGAAGAAUACGAAAACUACACCGAAAUCGCAAGUAUACACCUAAAAGUGAUGUACAGUUCAGGGCUUGUACAGCCAAUAAAUAACCGCCUUGUAUUUUGUAAAACUUUAACCCUGUUGCAGUGAUUAUUUAGUUGGAGUUGUUUCCACUUUUUGCUUUGAUUUUCCUUCGUUUAUGCUACGUUGUCCCAUGCCUCCCCCUGAUACGUUCCGAGAAAGAUUUUGCACUUUGGUCAUCCAUACAAAAAUAGUCUCCGAAAAACGGUUGGUGACAUGCGAGGUACCACUCGCUUUUUAUAACAGGGUUUGUUUGUUGCGCUUUUGGACAUCUCUAUUUUGGGUGCUCUUGCAGUACUCAAGAGGGAGUAGCCCGUGGUGAUUCCUGAUUACGACCCUGAGUUCACAAUUCCACUCAAUACACCUUUAACCAAAACCACCCAC
Molecule: long non-coding RNA, 2461 nt
Organism: Uranotaenia lowii
Lineage: Eukaryota; Metazoa; Arthropoda; Insecta; Diptera; Culicidae
Exons: 3
Source: RefSeq, a predicted model, not a curated record